AUACUAUGUGUUCUUUGAAAAUUUUGUGACUAUCGAAGCUAGUCUUAAACAGAAAGGUCACAAGUCUCAAAGAGAGGAACUGGAUGCUAUACUUUUUAUUUUUGAGAAAAUUUUACAACUUCUUCCAGAAAGAAUUCAUCAGCCAUGGCAGUUUCAUAAUAUUGGAUUGAUUUAAAGAAGCUACUUCACACAGGAGACUCCUUAAAGAUUAGGCGGGAAGG
Molecule: long non-coding RNA, 221 nt
Filed under: Homo sapiens (human)
Lineage: Eukaryota; Metazoa; Chordata; Mammalia; Primates; Hominidae
Description: HSALNT0153496
Source: RNAcentral